This 683-nucleotide non-coding RNA is filed under the name Pan troglodytes (chimpanzee). Lineage: Eukaryota; Metazoa; Chordata; Mammalia; Primates; Hominidae. The record is from RNAcentral.
CUCAAUACGUAUUUAUCGAGAAUCUACUACGUAAAAUGCAAUGUUCACAGCAUCUUCACCAGGAGAAGAUUCUAUCUUAAGGAAACUCUUUUCUCAUGCAUAAGAAGCACCUCCUUACCUGUUAAAAGUUUAAUCAUGAGAUUGCAGGAAUUCAGUCACAUCUUCAGGCUCCACUUCUAAUUCUAGUUCUCUUGGUAUUCCACCACACCUGCAGUGACUUCCUCCACCGAAGUCUUGAACCUCUCAAAGUCAUCCAUGAGGGUUGGAAUCAACUUCUUCCAAAGUCCUGUUAAUGUUUGUAGUGUUAUGAAAUAUAUAUACAUAUAGGUUUUCAUACACAGGAAACAGAAUCUCUUUGACCUUCUCUUGCCUUCCUUUUACUUGCCUUCCUUUCACCUACCCCAAAGCAGGACUCUAAUCUUCUGCUUUUAUAAUUGUGGAUCAUAAGACUCAUUUCAGAGAGGGUCCCAACCCAUGGCCCGGGGGAAGGAAUGCUGAUGUAAUGAAGCUUCCAUAAAAAUUCAAGAGGACAGCUUCCUGAUAGCUGAACAAGUGGAGGUUUCUGGGGAAUGGCUACCCGGGGAGGGCAUGGGAGCUCUGUGUCCCUUCCUCCAUACCUCUCCCUAUGCAUCUCUUCAUCUGGAUCCUUCGUGAUAUCCUUUAUAACAAACUGGUAAAUGUAA